This 490-nucleotide ribosomal RNA is filed under the name uncultured bacterium. Its description in RNAcentral is "partial 16S ribosomal RNA". It matches the Rfam family "Bacterial small subunit ribosomal RNA", at positions 30 to 507 of the family's 1533-position model. The record is from RNAcentral.
AUUGAACGCUGGCGGCAGGCCUAACACAUGCAAGUCGAACGGUAACAGGAAUCAGCUUGCUGAUUUGCUGACGAGUGGCGGACGGGUGAGUAAUGUCUGGGAAACUGCCUGAUGGAGGGGGAUAACUACUGGAAACGGUAGCUAAUACCGCAUAACGUCGCAAGACCAAAGAGGGGGACCUUCGGGCCUCUUGCCAUCGGAUGUGCCCAGAUGGGAUUAGCUAGUAGGUGGGGUAAAGGCUCACCUAGGCGACGAUCCCUAGCUGGUCUGAGAGGAUGACCAGCCACACUGGAACUGAGACACGGUCCAGACUCCUACGGGAGGCAGCAGUGGGGAAUAUUGCACAAUGGGCGCAAGCCUGAUGCAGCCAUGCCGCGUGUAUGAAGAAGGCCUUCGGGUUGUAAAGUACUUUCAGCGGGGAGGAAGGGAGUAAAGUUAAUACCUUUGCUCAUUGACGUUGCCCGCAGAAGAAGCACCGGCUAACUCCGUG